AGCCUUUUGUUUAUUUAUAAAAGGUAAAACCUGCCCAGUGAUUUACGAAUUAAACGGCCGCGGUACCCUGACCGUGCUAAGGUAGCAUAUAAUUUGCCCUUUAAUUGGGGGCUAGAAUGAAUGGACAAACGAAAAUGUAACUGUCUCAAUAAUAAAAAACUAAAUUUACCUCUAAGUGAAAAGGCUUAGAUUAUAUAAAAAGACAAAAAGACCCCAUAGAGCUUUAUUAUUAAAACAUAAAAAGAAAAUAUAAUAUAUUCCAUUUUAUUAUCUAAAUAAUUUAAUUGGGGCGAUUAGAGAGCAAUAACCCUCUCUUUCAUAUAUAGGCUCUUUCCGUAAUAUGAUCCUUAAACGAUUAAAGAAAUAAGCUACCUUGGGGAUAACAGGCUAAUUUCUUUCAAGAGUACAUAUCGAAAAAGAAGGUUGGCACCUCGAUGUUGGCUUAGAGGCCCCUAAGGGUUGCAGCAGCUCUUAAGGCGGGUUUGUUCAACCCAUAAACCUCU
Molecule: ribosomal RNA, 503 nt
Filed under: Euclymene cf. oerstedii GK-2017
Lineage: Eukaryota; Metazoa; Annelida; Polychaeta; Maldanidae
Description: partial 16S ribosomal RNA
Rfam family: Bacterial large subunit ribosomal RNA
Source: RNAcentral